UUUAUGGAGAGUUUGAUCCUGGCUCAGGACGAACGCUGGCGGCGUGCCUAAUACAUGCAAGUCGAGCGGAGCUGAUGAGGUGCUUGCACCUCUGAUGCUUAGCGGCGGACGGGUGAGUAACACGUAGGUAACCUGCCCAUAAGACUGGGAUAACCCACGGAAACGUGAGCUAAUACCAGAUAGGCAUCUUC
RNAcentral lists this non-coding RNA (191 nucleotides) under Paenibacillus aquistagni. RNAcentral describes it as "Bacterial small subunit ribosomal RNA". It matches the Rfam family "Bacterial small subunit ribosomal RNA", at positions 1 to 184 of the family's 1533-position model. Lineage: Bacteria; Bacillati; Bacillota; Bacilli; Caryophanales; Paenibacillaceae. The record is from Rfam by way of RNAcentral.